GAUGAACGCUGGCGGCGUGCCUAAUACAUGCAAGUCGAGCGAACAGACGAGGAGCUUGCUCCUCUCACGUUAGCGGCGGACGGGUGAGUAACACGUGGAUAACCUACCUAUAAGACUGGGAUAACUUCGGGAAAGCGGAGCUAAUACCGGAUAAUAUCUUGAACCGCAUGGUUCAAUAGUGAAAGACGGUUUUGCGGUCACUUAUCGAUGCAUACGCGCCGCAUUAGCUAGUUGGUAAGGUAACGGCUUACCAAGGCAACGAUGCGUAGACGACCUGAGAGAGUGGUAGGCCACACUGGAGCGUGAACGCGGACAAGAGUCCUGAGAGAGGGCGCAGUAGGCUACGUGCGGCAGUGGGCGAAAGCCUGGCGGAGCAGCGCCACGUCAGAGGUAACGGUCUUCGGUGCGUAAAAACCGGUUAUGAGUGAAGAACCAAUGUGUAAGUAGAUAUGCACGUCUUGACGGUAACUAAUAAGAAAGCCACGGCUAACUACGUG
RNAcentral lists this ribosomal RNA (497 nucleotides) under uncultured bacterium. RNAcentral's name for it is "partial 16S ribosomal RNA". It matches the Rfam family "Bacterial small subunit ribosomal RNA", at positions 28 to 507 of the family's 1533-position model. The record is from RNAcentral.